CUGAAAAUAGUUAAAGGAAAGGGGAUUUAGGGUUCAGUAGUGACUAUCCCGAUCCCUUCCUCAUACCUCCUUCUCCCUUAACCUCGCGACGGCGGCCAUUAAUCCUCCGAUCGACCCUCUCGCCGCCGUGAUAACCCUACCACCCCAAACUUAUGCUCACCUCUUCCAUCUCGCAACUCAGCGAUUAGCUUAAAUCCCAAAUUACCACAUCUAAUCCACAACGUUCUAAAAUCAUUCAAAAUCAAAACUAAAUGAAGAGAAACCUGGAAUUUCAGCGAGAGAAGGAUCAAAUGAAUUCCGGAGGAGCUUCCAAUCGUAGUUGGCGCAAGAUGGAAAUCGAAGUUCUCACGGAGUAGAAACCUUCAAUCGGAGUCGACGCGGAGACGAAGGAGCCGCUGAUGAUUCAGGGCUGAUUUGAUGGUGUUAAUGAUGGCGGAUUCUCGAUCUUGGAUGUGCUGCGAUAUCUUGAGUAAGUGAAAGAUUUGGUUCAUGCGAGCUUCCACGAGAUGAACGAAAGUUGCCUCUGAUUGGAAUGCAGUACAGGAGCUAGAUGUCGGUUAUGUUAAGCUUGAUGUUCAACCCCCUUUUUGGAUAGUCUUGGUGCUGAUUUUGAAUUAAAUAGGGCUGCAAUGAUUAGGAAGAUGGCUUGGAUUACUCGAGUUUUUAUUGAAUGGUUGGUAUUUGAACAUGGUUUGGCCAGGAGCUAAAAGGUGAAGGAAUACAAGAAAUGGAAGCAGCAGCAUGAGGGAUGAAUUGAAGGAAUGGGGAGGAAUUAGUUUUUUUUGUGUAAAUUUGUGAAUUUAUGGGUUGUAAUGUGAGGACAUGUACUCGGAUACGACUUGUAUUUUGGUAUGGCAUUCUGUAAUAAACAAGGCUUUGAAUUGAAAUGGCUUGAAAUGUAGUGGUUUUAUGACUUUGGCUUGUAAUAUAUAUUUGAAGUGUGUGGAUUUGGAUUUGGAUGAGUACUUGAAUGAUGGUUCUUGUCUUAUAUUCAAAUAAAAUUUGAAUUUUCCAUCAUUUGUUAUUUUGAGUUUAAAUCUCGAACUCGAACCGAUCUACCAAACCUUCAACAAAUUUAAUCCAUCCUUUUUGUGCACCAAUUUGAACGAAGCCGCUUGAUUACCUUAAUGAUCUCCACAAUAGCCCAUAUCCUUCACUGAGAAUUCCAAGCAGACAUUAAUUGACCUAUACAAUUCGCCCCACAAGUGGACACUAACAGAGCCCUGAUUUAUGAAGAUAAUGAGAUCUUGUCCAAUAGCAUCCAACAGAGGAGUAGAAAAACCCAACUUCUUGUAUUAUAGAUAGCAAUAGAGAACUGUUACUCAACAAGACCCUUGAUCCUACUACCUUGGAUGUUUGUUUUGAUGGAUGCAAUUAUAAGGAAGUAAAUUCUGAUUCUUGAUCCUUAAUUCAGUGAUCCUUGGUCCCGAUGCCAAUUAGUGAUUAAUGAUGCAUGAUGUGUUAAAUGA
Molecule: long non-coding RNA, 1469 nt
Organism: Vicia villosa (hairy vetch)
Lineage: Eukaryota; Viridiplantae; Streptophyta; Magnoliopsida; Fabales; Fabaceae
Exons: 4
Source: RefSeq, a predicted model, not a curated record